Molecule: ribosomal RNA, 253 nt
Filed under: uncultured bacterium
Lineage: Bacteria
Description: partial 16S ribosomal RNA
Rfam family: Bacterial small subunit ribosomal RNA
Source: RNAcentral
UACAGAGGGGGCAAGCGUUGUUCGGAAUUACUGGGCGUAAAGGGCGCGUAGGCGGCCCGCUAAGUCGAACGUGAAAUCCCCAGGCUCAACCUGGGAACUGCGUCCGAUACUGGCAGGCUUGAAUCCGGGAGAGGGAUGUGGAAUUCCAGGUGUAGCGGUGAAAUGCGCAGAUAUCAGGAGGAACACCGGUGGCGAAGGCGGGACUCUGGGCCGAUACUGACGCUGAGGAGCGAAAGCGUGGGGAGCGAACAGG